RNAcentral lists this long non-coding RNA (481 nucleotides) under Pan troglodytes (chimpanzee). Its description in RNAcentral is "long non-coding RNA NONPTRT017548". The record is from RNAcentral. Lineage: Eukaryota; Metazoa; Chordata; Mammalia; Primates; Hominidae.
GCCGGGUCGGCCCUCUCUCUGAACUGCUGCCUGUGUCUGCCCCUCCCUGCACACUGACGACUUUUGCUUAGUGUGGUAGCGUGUCCCAGUGUGUGCUGUUCUGCCUAACCCUGUGGUCUUGUGUCGUUUCUUUUUCCCUUGCAGGGUCUGCCCUGAAGCGUCUCUGCCUAGGCAAAGAACACAGCAGUAGGUCCUCCACCAGCAGCCUGGCCCCAGGCCCUGAGCCAGGCCCCCAGCCCGCCCUGCACGUCCAGGCGCAGGUGAACAACAGCAACAACAAGAAGGGUACCUUCACGGACGACCUGCACAAGCUGGUGGACGAGUGGACGAGCAAGACGGUGGGGGCCGCGCAGCUGAAGCCCACGCUCAACCAGCUGAAGCAGACCCAGAAGCUGCAAGACAUGGAGGCCCAGGCAGGCUGGGCUGCCCCUGGCGAGGCGCGGGCUAUGACCGCACCUCGAGCAGGAGUGGGGAUGCCACG